RNAcentral lists this ribosomal RNA (253 nucleotides) under uncultured bacterium. RNAcentral describes it as "partial 16S ribosomal RNA". It matches the Rfam family "Bacterial small subunit ribosomal RNA", at positions 524 to 776 of the family's 1533-position model. The record is from RNAcentral.
UACGUAGGGUGCAAGCGUUAAUCGGAAUUACUGGGCGUAAAGCGUGCGCAGGCGGCUUUGCAAGACAGAUGUGAAAUCCCCGGGCUCAACCUGGGAACUGCAUUUGUGACUGCAUGGCUAGAGUGCGGCAGAGGGGGAUGGAAUUCCGCGUGUAGCAGUGAAAUGCGUAGAUAUGCGGAGGAACGCCGAUGGCGAAGGCAAUCCCCUGGGCCUGCACUGACGCUCAUGCACGAAAGCGUGGGGAGCAAACAGG